AGUCUAUGGGUUAUAACGGUAACCACUUAACAUUAGGAUUUUUGUUAAACCGCCAUUCACUGUAACAAGUGACAUAGGUGGUCUU
Molecule: small RNA, 85 nt
Filed under: Bombyx mori (domestic silkworm)
Lineage: Eukaryota; Metazoa; Arthropoda; Insecta; Lepidoptera; Bombycidae
Description: Bm_144
Source: RNAcentral